RNAcentral lists this microRNA precursor (80 nucleotides) under Marmota marmota marmota (Alpine marmot). RNAcentral describes it as "mir-199 microRNA precursor family". It matches the Rfam family "mir-199 microRNA precursor family". From Rfam's summary of the family: This family consists of the microRNA (miRNA) precursor mir-199 which appears to be specific to humans. RNAcentral also lists the same sequence under 4 other names. The record is from Rfam by way of RNAcentral. Lineage: Eukaryota; Metazoa; Chordata; Mammalia; Rodentia; Sciuridae.
ACUCCGUCUACCCAGUGUUUAGACUAUCUGUUCAGGACUCCCGCAUUGUACAGUAGUCUGCACAUUGGUUAGGCUGGGCU